CGGCCUAUCAGCUUGUUGGUGAGGUAACGGCUCACCAAGGCGACGACGGGUAGCCGGCCUGAGAGGGCGACCGGCCACACUGGGACUGAGACACGGCCCAGACUCCUACGGGAGGCAGCAGUGGGGAAUAUUGCACAAUGGGCGCAAGCCUGAUGCAGCGACGCCGCGUGAGGGAUGACGGCCUUCGGGUUGUAAACCUCUUUCAGCAGGGAAGAAGCGCAAGUGACGGUACCUGCAGAAGAAGCGCCGGCUAACUACGUGCCAGCAGCCGCGGUAAUACGUAGGGCGCAAGCGUUGUCCGGAAUUAUUGGGCGUAAAGAGCUCGUAGGCGGCUUGUCGCGUCGGUUGUGAAAGCCCGGGGCUUAACCCCGGGUCUGCAGUCGAUACGGGCAGGCUAGAGUUCGGUAGGGGAGAUCGGAAUUCCUGGUGUAGCGGUGAAAUGCGCAGAUAUCAGGAGGAACACCGGUGGCGAAGGCGGAUCUCUGGGCCGAUACUGACGCUGAGGAGCGAAAGCGUGGGGAGCGAACAGGAUUAGAUACCCUGGUAGUCCACGCCGUAAACGGUGGGCACUAGGUGUGGGCCACAUUCCACGUGGUUCGUGCCGCAGCUAACGCAUUAAGUGCCCCGCCUGGGGAGUACGG
Molecule: ribosomal RNA, 641 nt
Filed under: uncultured Actinomycetes bacterium
Lineage: Bacteria; Bacillati; Actinomycetota; Actinomycetes
Description: bacterial SSU rRNA
Rfam family: Bacterial small subunit ribosomal RNA
Source: RNAcentral